Molecule: long non-coding RNA, 1130 nt
Filed under: Heterocephalus glaber (naked mole-rat)
Lineage: Eukaryota; Metazoa; Chordata; Mammalia; Rodentia; Bathyergidae
Description: lncRNA (ENSHGLG00000047489.1)
Source: RNAcentral
CUGGAAGGCAGGGACUGCAACUCUGUUCCUCUCUGUCCCCAUCGCCCAACAUGAAGCCUGAGCACAGCGGAUAUUUACUAAAUGAAUGGAGCUCUCCUGUCUAAAAGAGGAGUGAAAGAAAUUACAUCCAUGCAAACUGACUCACACUGCAGCUGCUGUCUGCAAGGAAAAAAAGGUGGAAAAAUAAGGCGCUGUCACUGAGCACUAAUAAGCUCAAUGGGAAAGAGUGAUAUCUUCCCUUGCAGAGCUUCUUAACAAUCUAGAAGAGCUGCCAGGAACCUAAGAGCACAGUCCAGAGCCUGCCUCUCAGACACAGGUUCCCACAGCAGCAGCACCCUUAGGAUCCUGUGAGCCUCGGACUGCACCGAGGAAGCAUGGUUCUGGAGAGGGGACGGGAUUUACCCAGGGCCGCCUACAGGAGCUGCAGUCUGAUCUCGCACUCCUGCCCAGGCUCUGGGAAUGCAGCCUGCAUUCUCACACAUACUCCUUAGUGGGCACAGACAAAGCAAAAGCAAAAACAGUCUCACAGUCUAACCUAUCUGCUCACAUGCACCUUACAAAUAUAUGUGAGAGGAGACAGAGAUUGUGUCUUUCGUGAACUGUGACUCACAUGGUCCUGAGGUCCCACAAACAGGCAUUAAGGUAACUGAAGAGCUUUUACUGCACCAAGCAGAUGACAAAACCAGCAGCAUGAGUUGAACUGACCAGUGCAUGGUAGCUCUCUCAGAGCCAGACACACUUUGCUGCACCUGUUGUGUGCAGAACUCUCCACAAGGCAGCCCAGAACAGGGAAGAGAACCCUGGAGCUGAACUGUGGCUCCUCCACUCACUACUUGUGUAAUAUUCUGAAUUCUAACCGCUCUAAGCCUGUUUCCUCAUCUAUACAAAAGACUGCACCGCCCAUUUCACAAAGCUGUGCCCACGUGGGGUGGCAUAUGUACCUGGCGUACAGCAAAGGUCAAAUGGUUUUGUUCAUUCCUGAGCAAGCAAAAUAAUUUAUGUAUACCGUAGAAAAAGGAAUGGAAAAAACAGCUACGCCCAAACUCUUGUAAAAUCUUAGUAUGAUAAAAUAGCAUCUUUUGAGGACGUACUAAAGCAUAAAGAAAUUCUGUAAGAAAUUUUUAGCGGCU